CUCGCGGACCGGGCCCCUCUGGUGGCUGCCUUUCCAAGCAGCCGCGAUGUCGGACCGCAUCG
Regulatory RNA element from Sphingopyxis bauzanensis, 62 nucleotides. It matches the Rfam family "terC RNA". The record is from Rfam. NCBI's taxonomy places the organism in Bacteria, Pseudomonadati, Pseudomonadota, Alphaproteobacteria, Sphingomonadales, Sphingopyxidaceae.